Molecule: RNA transcript, 7137 nt
Organism: Hippocampus zosterae (dwarf seahorse)
Lineage: Eukaryota; Metazoa; Chordata; Actinopteri; Syngnathiformes; Syngnathidae
Gene: nin
Gene name: ninein (GSK3B interacting protein)
Exons: 27
Source: RefSeq, a predicted model, not a curated record
UGCGCAGCUAAUGAGGCUGAAUCAGUGUGUGUGUAUGCGGCACUGCAGAACAAAGAUCGAUGUUUCCGCUCUGUUUAGGCAGGUUGCUGUCCUGUGGGAUGGAUGACGUCCUGGAGCAGGACCAGUACGAGGAGCGCCUGAAGGAAGUUUUUGAUGGCUUCGACGCCAGCGGUUGCGGCUCACUGUGUCCGGAGGAGCUGGCCGACCUCUGCCUGUCACUGCACUUGGAGGACGUGGCCCCGGCACUCCUUGACGCGCUGCUGCAGGGUCGGGACCGCAUCACAGACAGGGUCGACUUUGAGCAGUUCAGGGAUGCGCUGAUUCUGGUGUUGUCAUCCGGCAUCGAGGCGCAACGGGAAGUCCCGUCCAGACCAGAGUCACCCGACAUCCAACCAAAGUUCGUGAAGGGCAGCAAACGUUACGGCCGUCGCUCCAAGCCCGAAUCGGCCGACGCCAUUUUGGACUUUUGCCAAGACGACGAGCACAAUCAAGGCGACGAGGACACCAAGGACAGCGAUGACUCGGCUGUUCCAAGGAAGCGUGAGCGCUGCAAUGCAAAUCAAACUAUCACGGAGGAGUACGAAGCAGAAGGCCAGAUGCAUCUGUGGAACCCAGACGAGCCGAGUACGACUCGAGGAUACGUUUCGGAGGCUCUGAAGGAGAGGCUCCAGGAAGCCUGCGAAGAGUUGGCCAUAUCUUGGCAGGGGCGCGCCGGCCACACGGAGCUGCUCGCCCUAUGCGAUUAUUUAGGCUUGGAGUUGAGUGCGGAUGUAGUCCAUGGCUUGAACGGGGACGGGUGGAUCAACGUUCAAGAGUUUGUUUCCAUGGUUUUAAAGUACAACAAGCCCCCCGCCACCCCGUCUGCCUCCACCCCGUACAGGCAGCUGAAAAGACAACACUCCACUCAGCCCUUCGAUGAGGUGGGCCGACGGAUCGCCAACCCCUGCGCCCUGAUGGGCAGCGUCGGUACGAGUCUGUUCUCAACCUUGGAUGACGGCACCGGCUUCACUGCGGUCGAAUCCAUCAUAGACGCCUGGAUGGAGGAAGGCAUCGAAAAUAGCAUUGAGAUCCUGCAGGCGUUAAAUUUCAGCCUCGAGGGCAAGCUCAGUCUCUGCGAUCUGACCGUCGCGCUGGAAAAUGAACUCCUGGGCACCAAGAACGGAAUCCACCAGGCGGCGCUGGCCAGUUUCAAAGCGGAAAUCAGACAUCUCCUUGAGCGCGUGGAAGGCGAGUUGAGGGAGAAGGAGAAAAUCCGCUUGGACCUGGAAAAGGCGGAAAGGCUGAAAAGCCAGCUGGCCGCCGAAGUGGAUGAGCAUCACUUGUCAAUCGAGCGCACGAAUCAUCUUAACCUCAGGAAGCUCGAGGACGCGCACCAAGAGAAGCUGGCGGCAGUGCGCUCGCAGCUGAUGAAGGAGAUGGACCUGAUCCGCCAACAGGGGGCGCAGCAAUGUGAGGAGCUCGAGGCCCAGGUGGGGAAGAUUAAGGAGGAUGAGUCCUUCCUCCGGGACCACCUGGCCAUCUCCGUCAAGGAAAACCGACGUCUGGAGACGGACUUGCUGGACUGCAGCGAACAGUUGACCAAGGCCCAAAGCCAAGUGACAAAACUGCAGGCAAGUUUGGAUAAUGUGAUGAAAGAGAAGUUUGGCGAGCUGGACCCCGGCAGUGCUGACUUCUUCCUGCAGGAGGAACGCAUUAAGCGGUUGCGACUGGGCUACGAAGCGCAGUGCAGGGAAUUGCAAGAUCGCGUGGAUGAGCUGCAGUCCCAGCUGCAGGACUUCCAGAGCUUGGGCCGAACUCGGCAGCGCUGCCCGCAACCUCUCUCGGAGGAGCUGGAGAGCAAAAGCCCCGGCGUGGAGUCGGACCCGGGCCUCGGAUCGGAGGAAGUGCUGCAUCCCUUCAUCAGUUUGAGUCUGGAGGCGGAGAUGAUGCUGGAGCAGCAAAAGGAGCAGCAUUUGCGCCAAAUGGAUGACUUGAGGAACCAGCUGGAGACCAAAAUCAUUGAAUUCAACGCCGCGGUUGAGCAACACGAGGUCCAGAAGACGGCGCUGGCCCUCCAGCACCGACAGGAGUUGGCCGACAUUCGCUCGCGAGAGCGGGAGCUCCAGAGCCAGCUCGAGCUGGCAGAAGUGGAGCGCACCCGCCUGGAGGAGGAGACGAGCAGUCUUCGGCGGCGGCUCCUUGAGGCGGAGGCCGUCGCGGCGGAAAGGGAGGAGCAGCUGAGGAACCUGCAAGGGCGAAAGGCCGACCUUUGCGCCGAGAUGGAGGAGCUACGAAACCAACACGCCAGUCUGGUAAAGACUCUGGAAAAGAACAACACGGAAGCGUUGGAAACCAGACGGCGGGACUGGGAGAAGAAACGCCAGCAAGAGACGGAGGAGUUGGAGAAGAGCUGGAUGGAUCGUUUCGAAAAGGAAAAGGAGCAACUGACGCAAAGACACGAGGAGGAGCUGACGGCCAGACUUGAUGAGGCGAGGUCCGGCUUGGAGGAGGAGCACGAGCGCGCUGUGAAAAGCGAGCACAACAACGAGUCCCUGCAGGCGCUGCUGGAGGAGGCCACUCUGAGGCUGCUCAAGGAGCAGGAGGACAAAGAGGCCCGGUGGGAGAGCGAGAGGCUGCGUCUCGGAGAACAGCACGAGCGGCGGGAGGCCGAGCUCAAGCGGGAGUGGGAGCGGGAGAGGCUGCAGCUGGAGGAGGACUAUGAAGACAUGCUCCGGGAGAAACUGGAUGAGGAACGGGAGAAGCGCGAAGCGGAGAAGGAGGAGCUGGAGAGGAGGCUGCAAGACCUGGCGGACACGCGGGAGGAGAGCCACCGGGAGGCCCUGCGAGAGAUGACGGCCCAACAUGCGGAGGAGAGGAACACGCUCAGCGAGAUGCUGGAUAAGCUACGGGGCGACAUCGCUCAGGAGAGGCAACAGACAGAGGUGAGCUUCGCCAAGAAAAUCAAGCAAGUCGAGGAUCGUUUCUCGGGCGAGCAAGAAUCCGCGGCCGCGCGCUUUCAGGCGGACGUUCUGAAACUGGAACGCCACUAUCGCGCCGUGGCCGCCCAGACCAACAAAAUGGCGCCGGAUGAUCUGCGCAACCGCCUCCACGAGAGUCUGCGGGCCGAGGAGGAUUUUCUCGCUCGCUCGGACGAGAACGCUAAGGACGCCGAACUCCUGCUCAGCCAAGUUGUCGAAGAUUUCCGACAGGAGAGGGAAGAAUUCCAAAGCGCCCGCGCGCGGCUGGAGGCGCAGUACCAAGAGCUGCUCUCCGUAUCCCGUCGACAGACCGCGGAGAAAAUUUCACUCCUCGCCGAGCGCGACGAUUUGAAGCUGCGGCUUGAGGACAUCGAGAAGCUUCUCAAACAGGCAGUGGAUGACUUUGAACUGGACAGGGCGGAGCUUCAGGGACAGGUGGCUCUCCUGGAGGAGAAAUUGAAGGAAAGCCAAAGCCGGGAUCCGUUUUCGGUUGAGUCGGAGAACGCAGGAAUUGCCGCCACGACGUCGAUUCCUGAAAAUUCCUUCCGCGAGGAAGAUCUGAAAAAGGAGCGCAAGCCAACGAACGAGCCUCACCAAGACGCGUCGCGACUGAACACGGAUGCGAGCGAGACCCAAGACCUCCGUGCGUCGCGGACUCGUAACGCAACGGUUCUUGGCGAGGGCUGUGAUGACCUGGAAACGUCAAACUUUGAGCAACCUAAUGACAACCCUCAAGCUGAUCAUCUGCGUCAUGGAGAAAAGAUUCGCAUGAGCGCCCAGUUCGAGUUUCCUGGAACUUUCUCACCCACUCCGUGCCAAGAUAAAGACUCACCGAUUGGGCUCUCCGGAGCUUUGGUUGAGCGCAAAGAAGAAAGUGGCCCUGAAGAUGCGCCCGCCUCGAUCACGGAAAACCCCUCGCAUCACGAUCGGUGGGAUACAGAGGGCGCUUUUGCUUCCUUGGUCAUCGCGGAUCCUGGUGAACAAUUUCUAGACGAUGCCAAAGCUGAUCGUGGUUCGGAAUCCUACUGGGAUGAUUUAAACGCGGAGCAAGCAGAGGUUCGUCCAAACUACGCCGAUGAUGAACCUCAGGAUUUGACUCUUUUUGAAUUGCAAACUUCAUACCGGCAAAGCAGAGAAGAGAGUCUUCUCCUUCAGGAGAAGAUCCUUUUGCUCCAGCAGAAGAGCGAGCUCCUUCAGAGUCUUUUGGAGCACAGCAGCAAGAAGAUCCAAACGGGCCGCGAGUAUCUGGAGGAAAACUACAGCCUCAAAGUCAAAAUGUUCCUGCUGUUGGAACACGUCAAAGCGCUGCAAGUCGAGGCCUCCGAGCUGAAGGAGCUUCGAGCUCGCUACGAAGACCGCGUGCGUGACAACGCCACCUUGAAGGGGCAAAACGCCGAGCUCAAAACCAAGAUUUGGACGCUGCAAAGCCGGAUGAGCGACGAGCGGGUUUCUCUCGCGGAUGACAUCGGCAGGAUUCGCCAGGAGAACCGCAAGCUCUCGGAAUUGUUCCUUGAGUUUGAAACGCCGAGGAACGCCUCGGAUCCCGCUUUGCCCCGGAGCAGAAUUUCGGAGCCCUCGCCCGUUCGGGACGGCUGCGGUGAGUUUGCUCCGCGCGCCGCCAAACUUCACCGGGGCGUCUCGGAGCCGCAAGCCGAGAACGACGCCGCGUGGGCCAAUAGAUUUAAACUGGAGCAGCUCAACCAGGGCAAAGUUGCCGCCGAACAGCUAGCAGAGAAUCUCAACAAAGAGAUGUCCGACCUUCGCUCGCAAAGCCGCCGACUCCGCGCCGAGAACGGGAUGCUAACUGAGAAGAAUGCCCGCAGCCUGGCCGAGGCGGACCAGCUCAAGCGGCAGCUGGCCGAGCUGAUAAAAGACAACGACGACAAGCAGGAGGCGUUAACCGGCGAGGAGAAGAAAGAGCUGGCAGCUUGCGUGCGCGCCCUGGAGGCCGAGUUGACCAAAGCUGUGAAGGACGCGGCCAGGCUGGAGGACAGAAACGCCGAGCUGGCCCAGCAGGUGUCCGGCCUCGAGGAGAAGCUGAUGGAGGCGGACUCGAUGGAGAAUCCUCUCAGCCGCCCGCCGGCCGGCCGAAAAGAUGCGGCCAAAGAGACUCGGGGUCUUCGCAAGCAGCUCGCUAAAUUCCAGGAGAGGGUGAAGAGCAUGGAUGACACCCUCCAGGCCUUGAAUCAUCAGAAGGCUCGCCUGCGCUCGGAUCUCCGCGUCGUGCAGCAGGACCGAGAUUCCCUCCGCCAGGAAGUCGCCGUCCUGCGCAAGCACCUGCAGAACGCCUCCGACAAGAACCAUAUUUUGGAGCUGGCCUUGCACGAGUCGCCCAUCCAAAGUCCCAGCAGGAAGCUGCAAAGAGACGGCGGCGCGCUACAGUCGAUGGAACAAGACGACAAGGUCAGCAUCCUGUCGCUGAAGCAGCAGCAGCAGCACAAAAACUGCCAGGCGAUGCUGCUCAAAGCCUUGGAGAAGGAGAACGCCUCCCUCAAGCAGGAAGUGGAUGCACAGAAGCUGCUCAUCCAGGACCUCGCGGCGAAGGAAGGACACGCGCAGCUGCAGGAGGAAAAUGAGGCGCUCAAGGCCGAACUGGCUCAGCUCACUGCGAAACUCCUCGAGACAUACCAGGUUCACUUCACCGGACUCUUGCCGACGUCGCUGCACAGGACGGCAAGAGGACACCGUUCAGACGCCGACGUCGGGCAGGGAGCUGCGGCGGAGCAGCGAGCUCACACCAACGCGGAAGGCUACCGGCGGCUCGGCGGACUUUAAACGCCACUGUCUUCUUCUAUCUGCCAAGAUGGCCGCUCCGUACUUAAUCUUUUUAUUUGCGGCGUCCUCAUAAUUUUUAUUGUUUACUUUGUCGAUGACGACGCAAUUAUGUGAACGUGUCGAUGCAUUGCACCGCCGCUAGAUGGCGCCAACGUUUCCCAAUGGCAUUCCAAUGGAGAUGAUCUCGAAAAGGUUUCGUGUUGUUUUGAUCCAAUGCUCUUGUUCUCGAUAGCGAGGCAAGUCCAUUUAAUUAAACGCAGCGUAUGCUUUCUGCGCAUAAUGCGAAUGGGAUCGUUUGUUUCAUGAUCAGGCAUGACAAAGCUUCCGAGACUCGGUGAGCCAUCAAAAUAUUUAGUUACACGGGUCCCACGACUGUUCGGGUUUCUUUUUUUGUUUGGCCUUUUAUGAGAAUUUGACUUGCACAUGAUGUUGAUGAAUGUUUGUUCAAGCUGCAGUUUUUUUGUUUGUUCGUUUUGUUUGUCAUGAGGGGCUUUUUCCCCUGUUUUGCUGCUGUACCACUAAAGGUGGAUCACAAUUUUAUUUAUUUUUGUUGGGUUUUCAAGAUGAGAAGAAGAAACUGUUAAAUUAUCUCACACACACACACACACCUCAGUUGAUUUUUGAAUGUUAACGAGUUAUUUAUUUAUAUAUGUUGUAGUCACGUGAGCCAUGCAUUUACGUUUUUUUAAAAUUAUUAUUUAUUAUUAUUUAUGAGUAUGUUAUUUAAUUUAUUCAUUUGGGGGGUAGAUUCCAUGAUUUUUGUAUUUAUUUUAUGUUUUUAUUGCACAUUUCCCUCCCAUAUUGAUGGUACAGUGUUUCCUAUCGCAAGUGACAAAUGUUGCCAUGGUUACCAAAAUAUAAGGUAUGGACUCAGAUUUAGCCAUUGAGACAAGUUCUUACUUGGACCGACAACCAGAUGUUCACCGAGAAGUAUAGCGCCUCGGUUGGUCUUGUACAUAUUUUUUCAUUUCCACAGACUAAUUUUGAUGAGGUUGCAAAGAUGAUCAUUAGACUUUAAAUGAUUGGGGAAAGGAUGGAUUUUGAAUUACUUGGUUCAUAUAUGCCGGUCCUCCAGUUUUCAACUAAAAGAAUAGUUCCUGGAUGCAUUCGGGUCAUAUUUUCUUGCUUCCAUUGACAAAUGUUUUAAAACAAACAAUACCAAAAUAAUUGUUGGGGCACCGACUUCCAAUGACCCAGGGCGGAAUUGAUUCGUUUUUACCCGUUCACCUGCGCCUAUUGCCCAAUUCCCACAUAUGAGCUCUUGUUCCUGGAUCAUUUGUAAAAAAUUUUUUAAAUCUUUUGAGCGCACAAUUUCCUACCUCCCAUUUUAUUUUUCAUGUUAUUCUUUUUCUGAAAUGUAACAGACAUGAUGUGAUGGAAUCGAAUAAAGUUUCCAGCAAAUACA